This 253-nucleotide ribosomal RNA is filed under the name uncultured bacterium. Its description in RNAcentral is "partial 16S ribosomal RNA". It matches the Rfam family "Bacterial small subunit ribosomal RNA", at positions 524 to 776 of the family's 1533-position model. The record is from RNAcentral.
UACGAAGGGGGCUAGCGUUGCUCGGAAUUACUGGGCGUAAAGCGCACGUAGGCGGUUUCUUAAGUCGGGGGUGAAAUCCUGGAGCUCAACUCCAGAACUGCCUUCGAUACUGGGAAACUUGAGUCCGGGAGAGGUGAGUGGAACUGCGAGUGUAGAGGUGAAAUUCGUAGAUAUUCGCAAGAACACCAGUGGCGAAGGCGGCUCACUGGCCCGAUACUGACGCUGAGGUGCGAAAGCGUGGGGAGCAAACAGG